Molecule: ribosomal RNA, 446 nt
Filed under: uncultured bacterium
Lineage: Bacteria
Description: bacterial SSU rRNA
Rfam family: Bacterial small subunit ribosomal RNA
Source: RNAcentral
UGCCAGACUCCUACGGGAGGCAGCAGUGGGGAAUAUUGCACAAUGGGGGAAACCCUGAUGCAGCAACGCCGCGUGAGUGAAGAAGUAUUUCGGUAUGUAAAGCUCUAUCAGCAGGGAAGAAAAUGACGGUACCUGAGUAAGAAGCCCCGGCUAACUACGUGCCAGCAGCCGCGGUAAUACGUAGGGGGCAAGCGUUAUCCGGAUUUACUGGGUGUAAAGGGAGCGUAGACGGCGAUACAAGUCUGAAGUGAAAGCCCGGGGCUCAACCCCGGGACUGCUUUGGAAACUGUGUUGCUGGAGUGCUGGAGAGGCAAGCGGAAUUCCUAGUGUAGCGGUGAAAUGCGUAGAUAUUAGGAAGAACACCAGUGGCGAAGGCGGCUUGCUGGACAGUAACUGACGUUGAGGCUCGAAAGCGUGGGGAGCAAACAGGAUUAGAUACCCCUGUA